RNAcentral lists this ribosomal RNA (120 nucleotides) under Helianthus annuus (common sunflower). Lineage: Eukaryota; Viridiplantae; Streptophyta; Magnoliopsida; Asterales; Asteraceae. The record is from RNAcentral.
GGUUGCGAUCAUACCAGCACUAAUGCACCGGAUCCCAUUAGAACUCCGCAGUUUAGCGUGCUUGGGCGAGAGUAGUACUAGGAUGGGUGACCCCCCUGGGAAGUCCUCGUGUUGCAACCC